Molecule: long non-coding RNA, 1323 nt
Organism: Pongo pygmaeus (Bornean orangutan)
Lineage: Eukaryota; Metazoa; Chordata; Mammalia; Primates; Hominidae
Exons: 2
Source: RefSeq, a predicted model, not a curated record
UGUAUAUCCAUGCCAAAUAGACACAGAGCUGGAAGGGGCGUGAUUUGAAAUGCUCUGGGUUGGUUACAGAUGGAGUUUUGCUCUUUUUGCCCAGGCUGGAGUUCAGUGGCACGAUCUUGGCUCACUGCAACCUCUGCUUCCCGGAUUCAAGUGAUUCUCCUGCCUCAGCCUCUCGUGUAGCUGGGAUUACAGGUGUGUGCCACCACGCCCGGCUAAUUUUGUAUUUUUAGUAGAGACGGGGUUUCACCAUGUUGGCCAGGGUGGUCUCGAAAUCCCAACCUCAGGUGAUCUGACUGCCUCAGCCUCCCAAAGUGCUGGGAUUACAGGCGUGAGCCACUAUGCCCGGCGGAAGAGGAUGAUUUCUAAUGAUCCGUCGUGGAAGAGUGAGGUUUGGUGCUGCCAUGAUGAGGUAUAUCACGCAGAAAAGGGAAUCAGUUAUGUGAAGAAUGGAAAGGAGCCUAUGUGUCAUGCAAGCCGAGCUCAGAAGGCAGUUAUGAUUGGGAACCAAGGUCCAGGAGAUCUGGACACAAACCUGGGAUGUACAGAUACCACCACACUAUGCAAAGAAAGAACAAGAAAGCAGAGAAAUGAAUGCAGGAUUCAAUAAGAGAUGGUCUAGGGAGUAGGAAGAGAUCAGCAGACAGUGUUAUAGCACGUAGAAGUUAAGUGCUUCAAGAAUUAGGUAAUGUCCAUGUCAAACACUGCAGAAUGGUCACGUAUGGAUGAGGAUGGAUUUAGCAUUUAAGUGUUCAAGAUGACUUUAGUGAAAUGAGUUUCAGAAGCAUUGGGGAUGAGGGCCAUGUAUUAAUGGGUUAAGGAGAGUAUGGUAGGCAGAAUACGCCCCACCCCUCAAAGAUGUGCCUGCCCUAAUCCUUGGAGCCUGUGAAUAUGUUAUCUUACACAGCAAAAGAGGCUGCACAGUUGCGACUAAGGGCACAGAUUUUGACAUGGGGAGACUAUCCUGGGUUAUCUGGGUGGGCCCAAUUUAAUCACAAGAGUCUUUGUAAGUCAAAGAGCCAGCAGAAAGAGUGUCAGAGAGAUAUGAUAUUGGAGAUGGAGGAAGAGGGCCAUAGGCCAAGGAAAUGUGGUGGCCUCUAGAUGCAGAGAACAGUUCUCAGUUUAUAGGCAGGAAGAAAAUAGAGACUUCAGUCCUACCAGUGCAGGGAAUUCUGCUAACCACCUGAAUGAGUAGGAAGUACAGUCUCUUCUGGGACCUUCAGAAUGGAGCGCGGCCUGUCAACACCUAGACGUUAGUUGGCUGCGAUGCAUACCAGACUUCUGAUCUACAGAACUGUAAGAUAAUAAACUUGUAUUUAUUUUAAA